RNAcentral lists this unclassified non-coding RNA (231 nucleotides) under plant metagenome. RNAcentral describes it as "partial contains small subunit ribosomal RNA, internal transcribed spacer 1, and 5.8S ribosomal RNA". The record is from RNAcentral.
UAUCCGUUGGUGAACCAGCGGAGGGAUCAUUACAGAGUUGCAAAACUCCCAAACCAUUGUGAACGUUACCUAUCCCGUUGCUUCGGCGGGCGGCCCGGGCCCCGCGCCCGGCGCCCCCCGGCCCCCCGUGGGCGCCCGCCGGAGGUAAACCAAACCCUUGAAUUGCAUGGCCUCUCUGAGUCUUCUGUACUGAUUAAGUCAAAACUUUCAACAACGGAUCUCUUGGUUCUG